AAUGUAUAACUGAAGCAAUGAGUAGUAAACCAAAUAAAUCAUUCAAGUAUUUAACCAUUCCACAAAUAAUUAGAUGUACACCUAAAAUGUUAGGUGGUUCAGAAAAAGCUAUUCUAUUGUUCAAUGCAUCUCGUACACAAUGGUAUGACCCAACAACCAGGCAACUAAGUGAUGCACCAGACAUACAUUUGUGUUUGCUCUGGGAAACACAAAUUUGUUAAAUUUUAAAUCUGUAAGUACGCUUCACGUAUCUCAACAAUCGCCCUCUUAUGGGUUCCAAUGGCCGACUUACUAGUUGGACGAAUACAAUUCGAAGUCGGAAUAUUAAGUGAUUCCAUUUAUAUUCUUGGCGGAUAUGACGGAUUCCAAUGUAUUAAAUAGUGUAGAGGUAUUCAACACUAGUAAUCAAGCACGGAAAAUGGUUAAAUAUAUGCCUACCAUCAAAUGGAAACUCAAUCAAACUAGGGCCAGUGGCGUGUAUACAAAUUAUUUUCACUAUGGGCCAAUUUUGGGAAUUUAUCACUAGUCAAGCAUAGCACGACUAACAAAGCCAUAACUAUACAUAUUUUAGGGAGUUGGGUGGUUAUAAUUAUGACAUAAAUAAUACAAA
Long non-coding RNA from Acyrthosiphon pisum (pea aphid), 610 nucleotides. RefSeq lists it as uncharacterized. Lineage: Eukaryota; Metazoa; Arthropoda; Insecta; Hemiptera; Aphididae. The record is from RefSeq and is a predicted model, not a curated record. The transcript is spliced from 3 exons.